CUCUCGAUCUGAUUUAUUUACUCCAUAAGUAGAGACCCUCUUCAUUUAUAGAUGAUUCCUAUGACCUAAUAAGGAUAGGAGUUCUAACUCAAAUCUGAUUUGAAUCAGUUCAAUACUCGUGAAAGAAAGAUUCCUACAUGAGAUAGAAUUGCCAUCACAUAUGACAACCAAUUUGCAUCCACUCCCUCACCCACAUGGGAUGC
Molecule: long non-coding RNA, 203 nt
Filed under: Elaeis guineensis (African oil palm)
Lineage: Eukaryota; Viridiplantae; Streptophyta; Magnoliopsida; Arecales; Arecaceae
Description: long non-coding RNA (EGUI_LNC077909)
Source: RNAcentral